Molecule: RNA transcript, 4198 nt
Organism: Betta splendens (Siamese fighting fish)
Lineage: Eukaryota; Metazoa; Chordata; Actinopteri; Anabantiformes; Osphronemidae
Gene name: protocadherin alpha-C2-like
Exons: 3
Source: RefSeq, a predicted model, not a curated record
CUGGAAUAUAAAACGAACACGCGGUUGUGCAAUAUAGCGUUGAAAUUCACCGGGCGUUUAAGGAGUUUGGACAGAUUUCUGAUCAGAGACGUCACGGGAAGCUCGGUGUCACUGGAAACGUACAAUAUAUCAGUAAAACUGCUGUAAGCGCCAAAAUGCAGACCGUAACAAUGGAUCCUAUCAAGAGGUAUGUGCUGCUCGGUAUUUUAUUGUCUUUGAUCCGUAACAUUUCAACCUCGGUCACUCAUUAUUCGAUACCCGAAGAAAUGAAGGAAGGAUCAGUUGUGGCGAAUCUUGCUGCUGAUCUCAGUUUGGACGUUAAUACACUGAACCAAAGGAAAAUGCGACUGGACAUAAUUGCAAAUAAAAAAUAUCUGGACGUGAACAAAGAGACUGGUGAGCUGUAUAUUAUUGAAAAGAUAGACAGGGAAUAUCUUUGCACUUCAAAGUCGUCGGCAUCUUGCUACCUUAAACUGGAGAUAACGUUAGAAAACCCACUACGAAUUUUUAAUAUCGAAGUAGAGAUUUUGGACAUGAACGACAACGCCCCGCAGUUUCGCAGAGACGCCAUUCAUUUGGACAUAUCUGAGGCGACUCCAAAGGGGGAGAGAUUCUCUCUGAGCAACGCAGUCGAUCCGGAUGUUGGAAGCAACUCGGUGAAAACGUAUCAUCUGAGUGAAAGUGAGCAUUUUAAUAUUGAAAUACAAACUGGGAGAGAUGGGUCGAAAUUUGCGGAGUUAAUAUUAAAAAAAACGUUAGAUCGAGAGCAGCAGGCUGUUCAUAAUUUAAUCCUCACAGCUGUAGACGGAGGAACACCCGCUCGUUCUGGGACCGUAAGCAUAGUUGUCCAUGUUCUAGACACAAAUGACAACGCUCCUGUAUUUGACAAAAAGCUUUAUAAUAUUCAAAUAUUGGAGAAUUCUCCCAUUGGAAGUCUCGUUAUUAACCUGAAUGCAAAGGAUUUAGACGAGGGAUCAAACUCUGACGUUACUUACUCUUAUAGUUUGUACACAUCAGAGAAAACACAGGAAACGUUUAAUCUGAAUCCUUCCACUGGUGAAAUUACAGUUAAAGGGACAUUAAAUUAUGAAGAUUUUAAGAUUUAUGAUAUGGAAGUUAUAGCAACAGACCACGGAGCCAGUAGUUUAUCAGGUCAAUGCACCAUAAAGAUUCUGGUGGAGGACAUGAAUGACAACCACCCAGAAAUAUCAGUCAAAUCUUUCCAGAGUCCAGUGAGUGAAAACAUAGAGUUAGACACAGUGAUAGCAGUAGUGAGUGUCAGUGAUAAAGACUCAGGAGACAAUGGAGUGGUGGACCUUCAUAUUCCACAUAACAUGCCCUUCAGACUGAGGGAGUCCUCUGAUAACUACUAUGAGUUAGUGGUGUCAGAGCCGUUAGACCGCGAGAAGGUUCCAGAGUAUGAGAUCACGUUCACUGUGACAGACAGAGGUUCUCCUCCUUUAUCUGACAAUGACACUAUGACGCUGGAGCUGCUGGAUGUCAAUGACAACGUUCCACAGUUCCCUCAGUCAUUUUACACCAUACGUGUGAUGGAGAACAACGCACCCGGAGCCCUGAUCAGUUCACUCACUGCGUUUGACCCUGACCUCCAUGAAAACCAGUAUCUGGUUUACUUCAUCAUAGAGAAGGAGAUCGCCAACACCUCCAUGUCCAUGCUGUUCUCCAUCAAUCCAGAGAACGGGAACCUUUACGCACUGAAAACCUUUGACUACGAGAUAGAGAAGGACUUUCUGUUCCACAUCGAGGCCAGAGACUCUGGUUCUCCUCCUCUCAGCAGCAACGUGACCGUCCACAUCAUCAUUGUGGACCAGAACGACAACGCUCCAGUCAUUGUGUCUCCGUGGCGCGCGCACGGCUCAGUGGUGGAGGAAAAGAUCCCCAGAUCCACGGAUAAAGGCUCUCUGGUUGCCAAGGUGAUCGCCUUGGACACGGACUCGGUGCACAACUCUCGCAUCACCUACCAGUUCCUGCAGGUGCCUGACGCCACCUUGUUCAGCCUGGACCAGUACAACGGAGAGAUCCGGACCAUGAGGAUGUUCAGCUACAGGGAUCAGCGCCACCACAGACUGGUGGUUGUUGCCAAGGACAACGGGGAGCCUGCUCUCUCCGCUACAGUCACCAUCAAGCUGUCCACCGUGGAGACCGCCGUCAAGGCCUACUCUGACAUGACAGAGGUGCCUCUGGAGUACGACAUCUUCUCAGACCUCAACCUGUACUUGGUGAUCGGUCUGGGCUCCGUGUCCUUCCUGCUGCUCAUCACCAUCCUGGUCACCAUCGUGCUGAAGUGUCAGAAACCCAAAGCCAGCAAAGCGGCUCCUCCCUGCAGGAACAGCGUGGCCAGUGAGAGGAACUCCACCAUCGCUGACUCCACGCUGGUCUCCAACGAUGCCUACUGGUACAGUCUGUUCCUGGCAGAGACCAGGAAGGGGAAGCUGGUGGUCAGACAGCCUGUGCCAAAGGGCUCCAGAUACAUCGUGUCCAGUAUCCCCAGAGGUACCGGGCUGACGGAUACUAGUGACUCAGCAGCUUCCACUCUGCAGUACCCUAAAUGAGGAAAGUCCGCUCUGCAGUUGGAGGUAUGCAGCAGUUUCACUCCCCCCAGGCGUCCACCACCAGCAGUAGCAGUUCCACGUAACUCCAUACACCCCCCCCCCCCCCCCCCCAGCUGCAAACAAGACUGACGUUGACAGGAGAGCUCCACAGAGGAAAGGCGAACCCCCUGCUGAUGACCCCCCAUGUCUACCUUGUCCAGCGUGGCCCCUGUUCAUAACAAUGUGUGGUUUCCAUGCUCUAACACUGAAAUACCUAGUGACUAAAGAUGGACCCCUGCCCCUCUAUAAGCACAGAAAAUGCCAAUCAACAAUGCCUGUAUGUCCAUUUAGUAUGCACGAUAUGAUUGCAUGGCUUCGUCUACGCUCCUUCACAAAAUGUACAAAAGGAAAAAAAAGGAGAACAUUUGAAUCACAGUGGAAGAAGCUGCAAAAAGGACCAAUAAAUGGACGCAGGAAUGUGGAAAUGCCUUCAAGAGACUGUAAUUGGACUCUGUUUAAAAACGACAACCACACCUGUUGAAGAUUACAUUUUUACCCUCUGUGCUUUUAUUAUUUUAUGUACAAAGUAGCAAACAUGUGGAACAGCACAACUAACUACUGUCAGAAAAGCAACAAAGUGUGUGAUUUCAAAGUGUGCAGUGAAUGGGAGUCAGUAUUUUAUAGAUGUGGUAGCUUUUAGUACUCGUUUGCAUUGUGUGCUUAUGUGUGGCCCUGGCUUUAAAAUAUGAGUAACAUGAACAGUGCUAAUGCUAAUGCAUUUACGUAACUGAGCUAAGAUGAAGCCUUCAGCCAUCAUGUACCUGCCUUUCAGUUGUCUUUGCAUGGAAUAACCAGUGCUUGGAUAGCUUUAUAUUAUGAAGCAAUCCACUUUAUAUCCUUCUAGCCUCAUCUUAUGGUACAGUACGAGGUACAACAAUAUACUGGACGUUCACGUGAGGUCAGAAACGUUCACCUCGUGUGUGUGUAGGUGAGCAGCGGUGUGCCAUACUUACUCAUUCACAAAGUUUACUUACAGUACUUAUUUACUUAUUUUAGUUCGCUUGAAUGUUGAGGAAUAUGUGUGUGGAGAAUUGAACUGAACAAAGUGAGUAGAUUCAUUAUUGGCACCUUUUUCAAUUACUGUACAUACACCACAAACAUCACCAUCAAGUACUUUAACUUUUAUUUUAUUUCCAAAUCCAAACAAUGUCGGCUGAGAUUGAUGGAGCUGAAAAGUAAGUGUUUAUAUCAAAAUGACAUGUACAUGUGUCUCACUAACCAUAUGUUUAUAUGCAACACCUACAGUAAAUGCAUACAGGUUUGACUGACACAUCAGUAUGAACUAUGUCUGGUUCCAUAUGUAUAUGCCUUUCUGUUUCAGUCCCAAUGCGGAACUUUGUAUUAUGAACACAACCUGUGGGAUUCUGUGCCAUUGCAUUCAUUGGUGAACGGUGAAAUUACGGACCGUCAUGUAGUCAAACUAUUAAGCACAGGUCUCUUUGCAUUACUGGUAAAGGUUGUUUAAGCCAUUACAGGCAAGCAUAUACAGCAAGUGCUUUUGUACAGUGAUACAUUUAUGGUGCAAUAUGUUGUUAUGUGUACUGUGAGCUGCUGAUCUGUGUGAUCUAUUAAAUGCAAAAAACAAA